Molecule: ribosomal RNA, 730 nt
Filed under: uncultured bacterium
Lineage: Bacteria
Description: bacterial SSU rRNA
Rfam family: Bacterial small subunit ribosomal RNA
Source: RNAcentral
AGUCGUACGCACUGGCCCACUGAUUGAUGGUGCUUGCACCUGAUUGACGAUGGAUCACCAGUGAGUGGCGGACGGGUGAGUAACACGUAGGUAACCUGCCCCGGAGCGGGGGAUAACAUUUGGAAACAGAUGCUAAUACCGCAUAACAAUAAAAGCCGCAUGGCUUUUAUUUGAAAGAUGGCUUUGGCUAUCACUCUGGGAUGGACCUGCGGUGCAUUAGCUAGUUAGUAAGGUAACGGCUUACCAAGGCGAUGAUGCAUAGCCGAGUUGAGAGACUGAUCGGCCACAAUGGAACUGAGACACGGUCCAUACUCCUACGGGAGGCAGCAGUAGGGAAUCUUCCACAAUGGGCGCAAGCCUGAUGGAGCAACACCGCGUGAGUGAAGAAGGGUUUCGGCUCGUAAAGCUCUGUUGUUGGAGAAGAACGUGCGUGAGAGUAACUGUUCAUGCAGUGACGGUAUCCAAUCAGAAAGUCACGGCUAACUACGUGCCAGCAGCCGCGGUAAUACGUAGGUGGCAAGCGUUAUCCGGAUUUAUUGGGCGUAAAGCGAGCGCAGGCGGUUGCUUAGGUCUGAUGUGAAAGCCUUCGGCUUAACCGAAGAAGUGCAUCGGAAACCGGGCGACUUGAGUGCAGAAAAGGACAGUGGAACUCCAUGUGUAGCGGUGGAAUGCGUAGAUAUAUGGAAGAACACCAGUGGCGAAGGCGGCUGUCUGGUCUGCAACUGACGCU